UACGUAGGUGGCGAGCGUUGUCCGGAUUUACUGGGCGUAAAGAGCGCGCAGGCGGUCGUACAAGUCGCGUGUGAAAGCCCCGGGCUCAACCUGGGAAUGGCGAUGGAUACUGGCGGGCUAGAGUGCGGUAGAGGAGAGUGGAAUUCCCGGUGUAGCAGUGAAAUGCGUAGAGAUCGGGAGGAACAUCAGUUGCGAAGGCGGCUCUCUGGACCAGCACUGACACUGAGGCACGAAAGCGUGGGGAGCAAACAGG
This 253-nucleotide ribosomal RNA is filed under the name uncultured bacterium. RNAcentral's name for it is "partial 16S ribosomal RNA". It matches the Rfam family "Bacterial small subunit ribosomal RNA", at positions 524 to 776 of the family's 1533-position model. The record is from RNAcentral.